Molecule: transfer RNA, 73 nt
Rfam family: tRNA
About the family: Transfer RNA (tRNA) molecules are approximately 80 nucleotides in length.
GGGGGUUUAGCUCAGCUGGGAGAGCACCUGCUUUGCACGCAGGGGGUCAAGAGUUCGAAUCUCUUAAUCUCCA